Molecule: non-coding RNA, 705 nt
Organism: Sesamum indicum (sesame)
Lineage: Eukaryota; Viridiplantae; Streptophyta; Magnoliopsida; Lamiales; Pedaliaceae
Source: RefSeq, a predicted model, not a curated record
UACUGGUAGGACUGUAACGAUGAGUUCAUGUUUUGGGUCUUCCGCAUGUUGGCCGAAGAGUACGUCUAGAAGACAUUUUCUUUUCCAUUGCCCGAUCGAGCCUAGUCAAGCCACUUUGGCUGGCCAACAAGGUCUUAUUCCAGCUCUAGGCGUACUGGGCCAGCGAGGACUUCCAGCAGGAGUCCUCGAAAAAUAAGACAAACUGGGGGCGAACCCCACAGCAUCUUCAACUAUGUAUCGCGGGGGAUCUUCCUCAAUCGACAUGCACAACAGGAAGUUAGAGGCAAAGCUUGAUCGGCAACCCAAGCAGAUAGAGUUGUUUGCCUGAUACUACAAGAAAAAGGAGGACAACGGCUGGAGCGGGCUGAGAGCGGUUGAGGUGGCGGAGACGUUUUAGAAGUUGAUGGAUGAUCAUCAACCUCAGUCCACCACCAUGACCACUGUACUCCCGUCGAAUUGGAGGCUUUGGUGGCGAUGACCGAGCAGUAGAUAUGGCUGGCUGCAGUUGGAAGCAAGAACAAGGGUCGAGUAUCUGGCCUUGGUUUUGAGGACCACGUCUCCACCGAACCUUCACCUCACCACCGCCACAACCAAACCCAGCCAUGGAGGACCGCAUCGGCCACCUCGAGACAAUGUUGGCCGAUUUGAUGGCCAUGAUGAGGGAGAUGCGGGCCAACUCGGGACCGCCACAGCCGAUCGCCCCCA